This 202-nucleotide ribosomal RNA is filed under the name uncultured bacterium. Its description in RNAcentral is "partial 16S ribosomal RNA". It matches the Rfam family "Bacterial small subunit ribosomal RNA", at positions 524 to 725 of the family's 1533-position model. The record is from RNAcentral.
UACGGAGGGGGCUAGCGUUGUUCGGAAUUACUGGGCGUAAAGCGCACGUAGGCGGCUUUGUAAGUUAGAGGUGAAAGUCCAGGGCUUAACCCUGGAAUUGCCUUUAAGACUGCAUCGCUAGAAUCGUGGAGAGGUGAGUGGAAUUCCGAGUGUAGAGGUGAAAUUCGUAGAUAUUCGGAAGAACACCAGUGGCGAAAGGCGC